This 253-nucleotide ribosomal RNA is filed under the name uncultured bacterium. Its description in RNAcentral is "partial 16S ribosomal RNA". It matches the Rfam family "Bacterial small subunit ribosomal RNA", at positions 524 to 776 of the family's 1533-position model. The record is from RNAcentral.
UACAGAGGUCCCAAGCGUUGUUCGGAUUCAUUGGGCGUAAAGGGUGCGUAGGUGGCGGGGUAAGUCGGAUGUGAAAUCUCGGGGCUCAACCUCGAAACUGCAUUCGAUACUGCCUUGCUAGAGUACUGGAGAGGAGAUCGGAAUUUACGGUGUAGCAGUGAAAUGCGUAUAUAUCGUAAGGAAGACCAGUGGCGAAGGCCGACCGCUGGACAGUUACUGACACUGAGGCCCGAAGGCCAGGGGAGCAAACGGG